GGGCCGGUGAGCUCAGUCAGUUGAGCAUGGCUCUGACAAUGCCAAGGUCAUGAGUUUAAUUCCUGUUCAGUCCC
This 74-nucleotide transfer RNA is filed under the name Apaloderma vittatum (bar-tailed trogon). It matches the Rfam family "tRNA". From Rfam's summary of the family: Transfer RNA (tRNA) molecules are approximately 80 nucleotides in length. Their secondary structure includes four short double-helical elements and three loops (D, anti-codon, and T loops). The record is from Rfam by way of RNAcentral. Lineage: Eukaryota; Metazoa; Chordata; Aves; Trogoniformes; Trogonidae.